This 320-nucleotide long non-coding RNA is filed under the name Sorghum bicolor (sorghum). RNAcentral describes it as "long non-coding RNA (SBIC_LNC018764)". The record is from RNAcentral. Lineage: Eukaryota; Viridiplantae; Streptophyta; Magnoliopsida; Poales; Poaceae.
CAGUUCUGAGUGGUAGGGUGGCAUCGUACUUAGUUGGAAGGCAGCCCGGCAUCAGCCUAGGUAGGGCGCACCACCGAUGAUGGUGAUCUUGUGGUUAGUGCAAACCUCUGCAGAGUUUCUGGUUGAUCGAUCGAUACAUAUGCCGUUUACGGCUAUGGACCUUUCCUAUGUUUCCGCUUCACUUGACUAGUGAGAGGAGUCCUUUCUACCUUCCCCUGGGUUUGUGUUGGAUCCGGCGUUGGCUGUUGAGGCAAGGCACGAGCGGGAGUCGUACUUGCUGCCUAGAGAGUGAGAGUGUGGAGAGAUGUGUGUGAUGGGAU